UCGACAGCAUCUUCAUCUUCUAUCCUCUUCUUCAUCAAUUACUUUUUCUUCACCAAAGAACCACACUAAUACCCACCAUAAACUACAAAUAUUUGAAGAAGAAGCUUGAUGGUUCACGUAGGAAGCUUUUGGGUUAGUUUUGGGUGCUAGGGAUUUUGCUCUAAGAGAGGAGAAGAUUACCCACCCCAUAAAGAGUAUUCACUUGAGCUAAAUGAGACUUGCCGAUCACGGACUCAUCCGGGCAUCUUGAAGUUGUUGGGAGCACUCAUCUUGAUCCUUCAUAGUUAUUCACAGGUAGCUGAGUAGGAGGUUGCUUCAGUUGCAGCUUGUACAGUUACUUCUUUUUGGUAGGCCUCCUACGGUUGGUGGCCAUGUUGAUGUCUUUUGUUGAUCUUUUUGGUAUUCUAUAGGGAAUAUGUAAUAGUUAUAUUUUGUAAAGUGUAAAAGUUCUACGAUGUAUUUGAUGAUGUUACUUCUUGGAUAAUGGAUAUGUGUAGAUUUGGAUCUCUGGCUGAAUGAUAUACCUC
Molecule: long non-coding RNA, 527 nt
Organism: Lotus japonicus
Lineage: Eukaryota; Viridiplantae; Streptophyta; Magnoliopsida; Fabales; Fabaceae
Exons: 3
Source: RefSeq, a predicted model, not a curated record